RNAcentral lists this ribosomal RNA (244 nucleotides) under uncultured bacterium. Its description in RNAcentral is "partial 16S ribosomal RNA". It matches the Rfam family "Bacterial small subunit ribosomal RNA", at positions 15 to 254 of the family's 1533-position model. The record is from RNAcentral.
GAUCAUGGCUCAGGACGAACGCUGGCGGCGCGCCUAACACAUGCAAGUCGAACGAGCGAGAGGGAGCUUGCUUUCUCAAGCGAGUGGCGAACGGGUGAGUAACGCGUGAGGAACCUGCCUCAAAGAGGGGGACAACAGUUGGAAACGACUGCUAAUACCGCAUAAGCCCACGACCCGGCAUCGGGUAGAGGGAAAAGGAGCAAUCCGCUUUGAGAUGGCCUCGCGUCCGAUUAGCUAGUUGGUG